GAGCAAAUUAACAUGACAGUGUCCUCAUGAAUAAAAAUAACAUGACAGGUUAUAAUGACGAAAUAUGCGAAAGUGUGCGAUUAAUAAGGUCCUUCAUUACAGAUAGAGUAAUAUAUAAACUUAGAAGCUAGCUACUAAUGGCCUUGGUAGCUAAACUCAAGAACUUUAGCUUCUUUAUAUCUUGAUCUUCUUCUCAAGUUGUGUGUAUCAUACAUGAAGAAAUAUUAUAUAGUUUUUAUGAUCGUAGGUCCACUGAUAGCUGAUCCAUGUCUUCCCAUUCAUAUGUUUCCUACUCGAAAUAAUAAGACACAUCUUUAACAAGAAAAGAAAAAACCACAUUUGUGAGUAAACUACUGGCUGCAGAUGCAUGUCUUCCCCAACACCUUUGUUUUGAAGGUGAACAAUCUUCAUUAUUAACCUUCUCCGUUUCUUUGGCUCAACAACUUUCUGCCCAUCUGCGGCAACCACCACCUGUUGAUCUAGUGCUAAGCUGUUGUCUCGGGGAUUUCCCUCCAAACAAUCUUCUGUAGGUCAUUCAUACAAUCUUCAAUAAAAAUUGCUGUUGUUAAGAAAUGAACGAAAAUCUUUGUAAUUGAAUCUGUUUCUGUGAUUGUAUGUCUAUGUUUAGUGCAAUCGUAUUUGAUUUGCCAAUUUUCGCCAUCCAUAAUCGAAUCUUGAGUAUAUUGAAAAGAACAGGAAAAAGAAUUAAAUUUGAUGCAGAAAAAACAAUUUUUGCCUUUGACAGAGUUGUAAGUUGAAGAAGUUCUAAAACCUUUUCUAAGUUUUCGCCUCGGUGGGUGGAUUAUUGGUUGCCAGUUAUUUCUCGACACCAUGGUUUUAGAGGUCUUUAUUAAGCUUGGCCCUUUCUUCGGGUUUCCAGGAUGGAUGGUGUCACCUCC
This 899-nucleotide long non-coding RNA is filed under the name Aquilegia coerulea. Its description in RNAcentral is "long non-coding RNA (ACOE_LNC000360)". The record is from RNAcentral. Lineage: Eukaryota; Viridiplantae; Streptophyta; Magnoliopsida; Ranunculales; Ranunculaceae.